Small nucleolar RNA from Salvelinus sp. IW2-2015, 216 nucleotides. RefSeq annotates it as small nucleolar RNA SNORA73 family. The record is from RefSeq and is a predicted model, not a curated record. The transcript has a single exon. NCBI's taxonomy places the organism in Eukaryota, Metazoa, Chordata, Actinopteri, Salmoniformes, Salmonidae.
CCAACGUGGACAUCCUGUGAGUUGUCUCACAUGGCUCUGUCCUUGUGGCGUAUGGAGCGUAGCGUUUCACAGUGCUGUGACGUACAGUCCCGUUCACGACGUUGGAGAGCAAGCUUUGUCCGGCCCUUGGGCUGGUGAGGACGGCAUUCUGUAUAUUCCUACAUCUUCCCAGAGCCCUUUGGCAUGAUGGGGGGCUAAACCAUGCAGUGUACAACU